CUACGAAAGGGGCUAGCGUUGUUCGGAAUUACUGGGCGUAAAGCGCACGUAGGCGGCAUUGUAAGUUGGGGGUGAAAUCCCAGGGCUCAACCCUGGAACUGCCUCCAAAACUACAGAGCUAGAGGAUGUGAGAGGAUAGUGGAAUUCCGAGUGUAGAGGUGAAAUUCGUAGAUAUUCGGAAGAACACCAGUGGCGAAGGCGACUGUCUGGCACAUUUCUGACGCUGAGGUGCGAAAGCGUGGGGAGCGAACAGGAUUAGAAACCCUAGUAGUCC
This 274-nucleotide ribosomal RNA is filed under the name uncultured bacterium. Its description in RNAcentral is "partial 16S ribosomal RNA". It matches the Rfam family "Bacterial small subunit ribosomal RNA", at positions 523 to 796 of the family's 1533-position model. The record is from RNAcentral.